This is a long non-coding RNA of Sinocyclocheilus grahami, 156 nucleotides long. RefSeq lists it as uncharacterized. The record is from RefSeq and is a predicted model, not a curated record. NCBI's taxonomy places the organism in Eukaryota, Metazoa, Chordata, Actinopteri, Cypriniformes, Cyprinidae. The transcript is spliced from 3 exons.
AUAAUUUUGCCAAUGUUCACUCAAAAACAAAGGUGCAUAAGAUCAGAUCAGUGAGGCCUACGAUCAAUAAGUUCCAAAAAGUAAUACGAAACCCAUGCAAAAUCAAAGAAAACAAGUUGAUAAAAAGAUUGAAUCCAAUAAGCAAUAUUUGGAGGC